AAUGGGCGGAAGCCUGAUCCAGCCAUCCCGCGUGCAGGAUGAAGGCCCUAGUGGUUGUAAACUGCUUUUAUUUGGGAAGAAAUCUGUCUAUUUAUAGGCAGUUGACGGUACCAUAUGAAUAAGCACCGGCUAACUCCGUGCCAGCAGCCGCGGUAAUACGGAGGGUGCAAGCGUUAUCCGGAAUCACUGGGUUUAAAGGGUGCGUAGGCGGCCUGACAAGUCAGGGGUGAAAUGUCGUCGCUUAACGAUGAAAUUGCCUUUGAUACUGUUGGGCUUGAAACAGGUUGAGGUUGGCAGAAUGUGGCAUGUAGCGGUGAAAUGCAUAGAUAUGCCAUAGAAUACCGAUUGCGUAGGCAGCUGGCUGGACCUGGAUUGACGCUGAGGCACGAAAGCGUGGGGAGCAAA
This 405-nucleotide ribosomal RNA is filed under the name uncultured bacterium. Its description in RNAcentral is "bacterial SSU rRNA". It matches the Rfam family "Bacterial small subunit ribosomal RNA", at positions 370 to 772 of the family's 1533-position model. The record is from RNAcentral.